CAGACGCUAGUUUAAUUAGUAAAAUUCAUUGUUUGGGGCAAUGUGUUCUAAGUGCAAAUCUUAGGGGUCUGA
RNAcentral lists this transfer RNA (72 nucleotides) under Xylaria hypoxylon. Its description in RNAcentral is "tRNA-Pro". The record is from RNAcentral. Lineage: Eukaryota; Fungi; Ascomycota; Sordariomycetes; Xylariales; Xylariaceae.